This 496-nucleotide ribosomal RNA is filed under the name uncultured bacterium. RNAcentral's name for it is "partial 16S ribosomal RNA". It matches the Rfam family "Bacterial small subunit ribosomal RNA", at positions 28 to 507 of the family's 1533-position model. The record is from RNAcentral.
GAUGAACGCUGGCGGCGUGCCUAAUACAUGCAAGUCGAGCGAACGAACGAGAAGCUUGCUUCUCUGAUGUUAGCGGCGGACGGGUGAGUAACACGUGGAUAACCUACCUAUAAGACUGGGAUAACUUCGGGAAACCGGAGCUAAUACCGGAUAAUAUUUUGAACCGCAUGGUUCAAAAGUGAAAGACGGUCUUGCUGUCACUUAUAGAUGGAUACGCGCUGCAUUAGCUAGUUGGUAGGUAACGGCUUACCAAGGCAACGAUGCAUAGCCGACCUGAGAGGGUGAUCGGCCACACUGGAACUGAGACACGGUCCAGACUCCUACGGGAGGCAGCAGUAGGGAAUCUUCCGCAAUGGGCGAAAGCCUGACGGAGCAACGCCGCGUGAGUGAUGAAGGUCUUCGGAUCGUAAAACUCUGUUAUUAGGGAAGAACAUAUGUGUAAGUAACUGUGCACAUCUUGACGGUACCUAAUCAGAAAGCCACGGCUAACUACGUG